GAUGAAGAACGUAGCGAAAUGCGAUAAGUAAUGCGAAUUGCUGAAUCCGUGAGUCAUCGAAUCUUUGAACGCACAUUGCGCCCUCUGGUAUUCCGGAGGGCAUGCCUGUUCGAGCGUCAUUAUCACCCCUCAAGCCCGGCUUGUUGUUGGAUGCAGCGCUUAUCCCGCUCCUCCCAAAGAUAAUGACGGCGUCUGCGACGACUCCUGUACACUGAGCUUUCGGGCACGUACACGGCUAGAAGUCCAGACCCGGUCGCCGUCCCCCCCGCGGGGACACCCAUUACCACAAGGUUGACCUCGGAUCAGGUAGGAAUACCCGCUGAACUUAAGCAUAUCAAUAAGCGGAGGA
This 349-nucleotide unclassified non-coding RNA is filed under the name soil metagenome. RNAcentral describes it as "partial contains 5.8S ribosomal RNA, internal transcribed spacer 2, and large subunit ribosomal RNA". The stretch from base 1 to 119 matches the Rfam family "5.8S ribosomal RNA", at positions 35 to 154 of the family's 154-position model. The record is from RNAcentral.